AGUGAACGCUGGCGGUAGGCCUAACACAUGCAAGUCGAACGGCAGCACAGUAAGAGCUUGCUCUUACGGGUGGCGAGUGGCGGACGGGUGAGGAAUACAUCGGAAUCUACUUUUUCGUGGGGGAUAACGUAGGGAAACUUACGCUAAUACCGCAUACGACCUACGGGUGAAAGCAGGGGAUCUUCGGACCUUGCGCGAUUGAAUGAGCCGAUGUCGGAUUAGCUAGUUGGCGGGGUAAAGGCCCACCAAGGCGACGAUCCGUAGCUGGUCUGAGAGGAUGAUCACCCACACUGGAACUGAGCCACGGUCCAGACUCCUACGGGAGGCAGCAGUGGGGAAUAUUGGACAAUAGGCGCAAGCCUGAUCCAGCGAUACCGCGUGGGUGAAGAAGGCCUUCGGGUUGUAAAGACCUUUUGUUGGGAAAGAAAAGCAGCAGGUUAAUACCCAGCUGUUGUGACGGUACCCAAAGAAUAAGCACCGGCUAACUUCGUG
This 492-nucleotide ribosomal RNA is filed under the name uncultured bacterium. RNAcentral's name for it is "partial 16S ribosomal RNA". It matches the Rfam family "Bacterial small subunit ribosomal RNA", at positions 29 to 507 of the family's 1533-position model. The record is from RNAcentral.